GAUGAACGCUGGCGGCGUGCCUAAUACAUGCAAGUCGAGCGAACAGACGCGGAGCUUGCUCCUCUGACGUUAGCGGAGGACGGGUGAGUCACACGUGGAUACCCUACCUAUCAGACUGGGAUAACUUCGGGAAUCCGGCGCUAAUACCGGAUAAUAUAUUGAACCGCAGGGUUCAAUAGUGAAAGACGGUUUUGCUGUCACUUCUCGCUGGAUCCGCGCCGCAUUAGCUAGUUGGUAAGUUAACGGCUUACCAAGGCAACGAUGCGUAGCCGACCUGUGAGGCUGAUAGGCCACCCUGGAACUUAGCCACCGUCCAGACUCCUACGGGAGGCAGCAGUAGGGAACCUUCCGCAAUGGGCGAAAGCCUUACGGAGCAACGCCACGUGAGUUAUGAAGGUCUUCGGAUCGGAAAACCCUCUUAUGAGUUAAGAACAAAUGUGUAAGUAACCAUGCACGUCUUGACGGUACCUAAUCAGAAAGCCACGGCUAACUACGUG
Molecule: ribosomal RNA, 497 nt
Filed under: uncultured bacterium
Lineage: Bacteria
Description: partial 16S ribosomal RNA
Rfam family: Bacterial small subunit ribosomal RNA
Source: RNAcentral